AAGAGAGUUGACGAAAUAAGUGUUAGCGGAGAGUUUUGGAAGGCGAAGUGGGGUGGCUCUGCGGCCAUUAGACGAAACGCUGAAGAAAGGAGGAAAUGCUCCGCGAGCCACGAAGCGACUCACGCGUUCCGGUCGUAGA
Molecule: non-coding RNA, 139 nt
Organism: Caenorhabditis elegans
Lineage: Eukaryota; Metazoa; Nematoda; Chromadorea; Rhabditida; Rhabditidae
Source: Ensembl